AUUGAACGCUGGCGGCAUGCCUUACACAUGCAAGUCGAACGGCAGCACGGGGGCAACCCUGGUGGCGAAGUGGCGAACGGGUGAGUAAUGCAUCGGAACGUGCCCUGAAGUGGGGGAUAACGUAGCGAAAGUUACGCUAAUACCGCAUAUUCUGUGAGCAGGAAAGCAGGGGAUCGCAAGACCUUGCGCUUUAGGAGCGGCCGAUGUCGGAUUAGCUAGUUGGUGGGGUAAAAGCUCACCAGGGCGACGAUCCGUAGCGGGUCUGAGAGGAUGAUCCGCCACACUGGGACUGAGACACGGCCCAGACUCCUACGGGAGGCAGCAGUGGGGAAUUUUGGACAAUGGGCGCAAGCCUGAUCCAGCCAUGCCGCGUGA
This 375-nucleotide ribosomal RNA is filed under the name uncultured bacterium. Its description in RNAcentral is "bacterial SSU rRNA". It matches the Rfam family "Bacterial small subunit ribosomal RNA", at positions 30 to 404 of the family's 1533-position model. The record is from RNAcentral.